Molecule: ribosomal RNA, 361 nt
Filed under: uncultured bacterium
Lineage: Bacteria
Description: bacterial SSU rRNA
Rfam family: Bacterial small subunit ribosomal RNA
Source: RNAcentral
AAUCAACGCUGGCGGCGUGCCUAACACAUGCAAGUCGAACGCGAAAGCCCCGCAAGGGGUAAGUAGAGUGGCAAACGGGUGAGUAACACGUGGGUGACCUGCCUUCGAGUGGGGGAUAACGUCCCGAAAGGACGCUAAUACCGCAUGACAUCCUGCUUUUUAAGAGGCGGAGAUCAAAGCCGGGGAUCGCAAGACCUGGCGCUUGAAGAGGGGCCCGCGCCUGAUUAGCUAGUUGGUGGGGAACGCUCACCAAGGCAUCGAUCAGUAUCCGGCCUGAGAGGGCGGACGGACACACUGGGACUGAGACACGGCCCAGACUCCUACGGGAGCAGCAGUGGGAAUUGUUCGCAAUGGGCGCAAG